RNAcentral lists this ribosomal RNA (707 nucleotides) under uncultured bacterium. RNAcentral's name for it is "bacterial SSU rRNA". It matches the Rfam family "Bacterial small subunit ribosomal RNA", at positions 61 to 779 of the family's 1533-position model. The record is from RNAcentral.
GUCGAACGGACUCAUAUUGAAACCUAGUGAUGUAUGAGUUAGUGGCGGACGGGCCCGUAACGCGUGGAGAACCUGCCGUAUACUGGGGGAUAACACUUACAAAUAGGUGCUAAUACCGCAUAAGCGCACAGCUUCGCAUGAAGCAGUGUGAAAAACUCCGGUGGUAUACGAUGGAUCCGCGUCUGAUUAGCUUGUUGGCGGGGUAAAGGCCCACCAAGGCGACGAUCAGUAGCCGGCCUGAGAGGGUGAACGGCCACAUUGGGACUGAGACACGGCCCAAACUCCUACGGGAGGCAGCAGUGGGGAAUAUUGCACAAUGGGGGAAACCCUGAUGCAGCGACGCCGCGUGAGUGAAGAAGUAUUUCGGUACGUAAAGCUCUAUCAGCAGGGAAGAAAAUGACGGUACCUGACUAAGAAGCCCCGGCUAACUACGUGCCAGCAGCCGCGGUAAUACGUAGGGGGCAAGCGUUAUCCGGAUUUACUGGGUGUAAAGGGAGCGUAGACGGCAGCGCAAGUCUGGAGUGAAAUCCCAUGGCUUAACCAUGGAACUGCUUUGGAAACUGUGCAGCUGGAGUGCAGGAGAGGUAAGCGGAAUUCCUAGUGUAGCGGUGAAAUGCGUAGAUAUUAGGAGGAACACCAGUGGCGAAGGCGGCUUACUGGACUGUAACUGACGUUGAGGCUCGAAAGCGUGGGGAGCAAACAGGAUU